GUAAUGUGCAUAACCAAGACAUCAUAGCUCAACCAACAUCUCUUCUGUUUGUUUUUAUUGGAGACAAUGUGACUCUACAAUGCUUCUAUCCUAAAAAUAUAAAAUAUAUGUCAUGGUAUAAGCAAACUACCGGCCAGGAACUCCAACUUAUAUCACACCAAUACACAUAUAGUAGUAACAACCUUUAUGGUGAAUUUGAGAACAAUCCUCGAUUUUCAGUACAGCUUGAUGAAGGGAUAUAUCACCUUCAAAUCAAUGACACUCAGCCAUCUGAUUCAGCUAUGUAUUUCUGUGGAAGAUCACAACUAAGUAAGAUGACUUUUGAAGAUACAGGAACUUUACUUGUUUUCAGAGACUAAAAGCAUGAGAAUUGUCCAGCAGCCAGUGUCUGAGUCCAUCCAGCCAGGAGGCUCUGUUACUCUGAACUGUACAAUACACACUGAGACCUGUGCUGAAGAACACAGUGUCUAUUGGUUCAGACAUGGCUCAGGAGAAUCCCGUCCAGGAAUCCUUUACACCCAUGGAGGCAGGAGUGAUCAGUGUGAGAAGAGCCCUGAGGCUGGGUCUCCUACACAGAGCUGUGUCUACAACCUCCCCAAGAGGAACCUCAGCCUCUCUGAUGCUGGGACUUACUACUGUGCUGUGGUCUCAUGUGGGGAGAUACUGUUCGGAGAGGGAACCAAGCUGUAUAUCUGUGAUCCAUGUAACAGCAAUCAUCUGCUGGUGUGUUUCCUCGGUGGUGGAUUAGCGGUUUCAUUAAUGCUGAUUAUUGUCCUGUCCUGGAUUAUCCACAAGAUGAAAACAUGUCUGAAAUGUACAGUGAAUAACCCAAUGCCAAGUGUCCCGCCGGCCCAAAGAUCUAAUAGCCAGGAUGACGAGGUUGAUAAACUGCAGUACGCUGCUCUCGAUUUCGACAAGAGAGGGAAGGCAGGAAGACAGAGAAGCUCCAAAGACACUGUCUACUCUGGACUGAGACAGUAACACAAGGACUGACACUUGAAUUUGGCCAUCUUGUGUUGAUUUUUCUGUGUCAUCCUGUGGGUAAAAAUACAUGAAAUAAAUGUAACUUCAAUUAAGUGAAG
Non-coding RNA from Hypomesus transpacificus, 1082 nucleotides. NCBI's taxonomy places the organism in Eukaryota, Metazoa, Chordata, Actinopteri, Osmeriformes, Osmeridae. The record is from the annotation of a RefSeq genome assembly.